UCCUCUAAAGACUUCCAUACCAUAACAGCUGUUUUCUUUUCUUAAAUGUGUUUGUGUUUCAUACCCCCUGAUAACAUAUCUAUGUACCUUGUAUCUAUGAAUGGCACACAGUACAUAUUAUAAUGAUUGCUGGGAUAACCUGACUUCCAUUGGAUAAUAUUUAUGCACCAAUAUGGACACUUUUUUGUUUCUUUUCACUUCCAGGAGGUAUUGUGGGAUUUGUGUCUGCUUCAUCCCAUGCAUUAUUCUGACCUGUUGAUUUUUUUUUAAUUGGGUUAUCUUUUUCUGUCUGAAACAUUUUGAAGACUAAUUACUCAGGGUUUAAUGACAAAAAAAAACAAACAGCAACAUGGUAAAUCAGUUGAAGUUCCACUUUCACCAUCUUUAUGUCAUGUUUUGUUGUUUUUUGUAUCACUGAUAUAUAUAUAUAUUUGUAAUGAUGUAUCUGAAUGCAUUCUGUUUCUCCAGUUUCACGUAUGUAUUUCCUGUUGAUGUAAAUUUGGUUGUUUUAAACAAAAAACAAUGUCUAUUGUGAAAACUAAUAUGUAUAUACAAAAGUUGUAUUAAAUUAUGACCUGACUGUUUUGUGUGUGUACAGGAUUCAUGCAUAUUGAAGGCUGAUAUAAAUAUUGUCAAUGAUAUGAACUACUUGCAUUAAGAGGUUUAUAUUGUUAGGUUGCUUUUUAUUUUUUUUUGAAUCUUAAAUGCUUGGAAUAAACAUAACAUUAAUAUGAAAAUCAU
Molecule: non-coding RNA, 741 nt
Organism: Biomphalaria pfeifferi
Lineage: Eukaryota; Metazoa; Mollusca; Gastropoda; Planorbidae
Source: the annotation of a GenBank genome assembly